GAUGAACGCUGGCGGCGUGCCUAAUACAUGCAAGUCGAGCGAACGGACGAGAAGCUUGCUUCUCUGAUGUUAGCGGCGGACGGGUGAGUAACACGUGGAUAACCUACCUAUAAGACUGGGAUAACUUCGGGAAACCGGAGCUAAUACCGGAUAAUAUUUUGAACCGCAUGGUUCAAAAGUGAAAGACGGUCUUGCUGUCACUUAUAGAUGGAUCCGCGCUGCAUUAGCUAGUUGGUAAGGUAACGGCUUACCAAGGCAACGAUGCAUAGCCGACCUGAGAGGGUGAUCGGCCACACUGGUACUGAGACACGGUCCAGACUCCUACGGGAGGCAGCAGUAGGGAAUCUUCCGCAAAGGGCGAAAGCCUGACGGAGCAACGCCGCGUGAGUGAUGAAGGUCUUCGGAUCGUAAAACUCUGUUAUUAGGGAAGAACAUAUGUGUAAGUAACUGUGCACAUCUUGACGGUACCUAAUCAGAAAGCCACGGCUAACUACGUG
Molecule: ribosomal RNA, 497 nt
Filed under: uncultured bacterium
Lineage: Bacteria
Description: partial 16S ribosomal RNA
Rfam family: Bacterial small subunit ribosomal RNA
Source: RNAcentral